GGGUAUAGCUCAGUGGUGGAGCAUGUGCUUAGCAUGCAUGAGGUCCUGGGUUCUAUCCCCAGUACCUCCA
Camelus ferus (Wild Bactrian camel) is the source of this 70-nucleotide non-coding RNA. Lineage: Eukaryota; Metazoa; Chordata; Mammalia; Artiodactyla; Camelidae. The record is from Rfam.